This 1925-nucleotide long non-coding RNA is filed under the name Homo sapiens (human). Its description in RNAcentral is "HSALNT0187841". Lineage: Eukaryota; Metazoa; Chordata; Mammalia; Primates; Hominidae. The record is from RNAcentral.
UUAGACUUUUCAUGUGUAAGAAUUUUUCCAGUGGCUAUUACACUGGAACUUGGAAUUAGAGAGGUAUAGGAAUCAAUAUUUUUACUCUUUACACAGAAUGAAAAGAAAAUGGCCUUCGAUGGGGUGAGGUUAAUCUCUGUUGUCUUAAUGUGUCAAAAAGCAUUUUUCAGAGGUUUCUAGAACCUGAAGUUCAUCUAUAUUUUUUCAUGUACCAUUUCUAUAGAUUAUUUAAUGAGAAAAAUUUUAAUAGCUAUUAUUUUCUUUAUAUAUCACUGAGAGAAAGAAAGACCUUUCUCUCCAAUCAAACAACUGAUGCUCAGUGCCUUAGCUCCGUGGUGAAGUCUCCUUGAAGCAGAAGAAAGGAAGAUAAAGGCAUUUGAGUGUCCAACUUUUACAUAUUAGGUAAAAUCUGGCCUAUUUGUAAAAUUUUUUUUUUAAAUGCCCUACACAGGAAGUACAAACGGUAGAUGUGAUCAAGGCAAGGUGACCUACUGGGAAGGAGGUAGUGGAUUGUCAGUUCUUACUUGUAGUUGUUGUAACCCCAGUCAUUCCACUUGCUCCAGGAGAAGUUGUGGCUGCUGGAAGAAGAAGGACACAAAUGGAAAAGAUUCAGGGGGCAUGGAAUGGAAUGGUGGAGCUCCUGCAUAGAAACACCAGAAGGAAAGACCUGUUACUGUAGCAAGCACCUGUGAAAGGACUCUCCGCCACACAGUGGACUCACCUGUGCUGAAACUUCCUGGGGCAACCGUUGUGGCAGGAGCUACCUCUGAGGUGCCUGAAACACAAAGAAACUGAGGUGAUCACAGUGAACGAGAGAAGUUGUGGCUGCUGGAAGAAGAAAGACACAAAUGGAAAAGAUUCAGGGGGCAUGGAAUGGAAUGGUGGAGCUCCUGCAUAGAAGCACCAAAAGGAAAGGCAUGUUACUGUAGCAAGCACCCAUGAAAGGAUUCCCCACCACAGAGUAGACUCACCUGUGCUGAAACUUCCUGGGGCAACUGUUGUGGAAGGAGCUACCUCCGAGGUGCCUGGAACACAAAGAGACUGAGGUGAUCAUAGUGAAUGAAAGUUGUGGCCUCUGAGAAAGAGGAAAACAGGACAGGAGUGAUGAACAAUAUUUCAAGACCAUGGAAAACUUAAGGUGGUUCUCCUACCCAGGAUAACACUGAAGGAGAAUUUGUCAUAGAUGGACUCCUGGAGGAAUCUGCCACCUCAGGGACUCACCUGUGUUGGAACUGCCAGGUGCAACAGUUGUGCCAGGAGCUACCCCAGUGGUGGCUGAAACACAAAGGGUCUGUGAUCAUCACAGUGACUUGUGUUUGUCUUCUGAAGACCUUCCUCCAGAAGGAAUCUGGGUGUAUCUUUGUUAUAUCAAAGGGCCCUUUCACUGCUUCCUGAUUAACUGAGAAUCAUAUGCCUUUGCUAUGACCCAUAGCAAAUUAAAAGAGCAAUGGAAAUAGUAAUGUGCCCAAAUUGAGGCCCCUCCACUGAAUUUCAUACAUUCACUCCCAGACAAGGAAACAGGGUGGCUUUCCCUCCCCUUCACCUGUCAGGCUCCCAGUUGCUUGGCCUCCUGAGGCUGCAGGGGUGCCUGCCAUGGGAUGAAAACCAGAACAAUGUUGUCAUGUGCCAAGAACACUGGAAAAUAUUUCAUAUCAUUAUUGCUUUUUUGAGUAAGAAAACUUUUAUACAGGAUAUGCUUGCUUCGAGAAUUUAUAUUGUUUUCUUUCCAGAAAUACAAUAUUUGUCAGCUCCCUCUACACCACAGUGGUAUACGUGGUUUUGCAGGAGAAAUCUGUUAUGCUGACUGUACCACCAGCCCCUCUUUAGAAAGUUACAGCUGUGGGGCUAGAUGUUGGUUUUAAGAGUUUUCCAGAAUGUGUUCAGUGUAAGAAAACACUGAAAGUAAAUGCAAACCACUACCUAGG